This 274-nucleotide ribosomal RNA is filed under the name uncultured bacterium. Its description in RNAcentral is "partial 16S ribosomal RNA". It matches the Rfam family "Bacterial small subunit ribosomal RNA", at positions 523 to 796 of the family's 1533-position model. The record is from RNAcentral.
AUACGGAGGGUGCAAGCGUUAAUCGGAAUUACUGGGCGUAAAGCGUACGUAGGCGGCAAGUUAAGUUAGAUGUGAAAGCCCCGGGCUCAACCUGGGAACUGCAUUUAAAACUGGCUUGCUAGAGUUGAGUAGAGGGGAGUGGAAUUUCAGGUGUAGCGGUGAAAUGCGUAGAGAUCUGAAGGAACACCAGUGGCGAAGGCGACUCCCUGGACUCGAACUGACGCUGAGGUACGAAAGCGUGGGUAGCAAACGGGAUUAGAAACCCUAGUAGUCC